UACAUGGUUACAUGGGACCACGAAAUGCAA
This 30-nucleotide non-coding RNA is filed under the name Mus musculus (house mouse). Lineage: Eukaryota; Metazoa; Chordata; Mammalia; Rodentia; Muridae. The record is from RNAcentral.